This 458-nucleotide ribosomal RNA is filed under the name uncultured bacterium. Its description in RNAcentral is "partial 16S ribosomal RNA". It matches the Rfam family "Bacterial small subunit ribosomal RNA", at positions 29 to 507 of the family's 1533-position model. The record is from RNAcentral.
AACGAACGCUGGCGGCAUGCCUAACACAUGCAAGUCGAACGAGACCUCCGGGUCUAGUGGCGCAUGGGUGCGUCACGCGUGGGAACCUGCCCUUAGGUUCGGAAUAACUCUCCGAAAGGGGUGCUAAUACCGGAUAAUGUCUUCUGACCAAAGAUUUAUCGCCCUUGGAUGGGCCCGGGUUCGUUUAGCUUGUCGGUAGGGUAAAAGCCUACUACGGCGACGAUGCGUAGCUGGUCUCAGAGGAUGCUCAGCCACACUGGAACUGAGACAGGGCCCAGACUCUGACGGGAGGAAGCAGCCGGGAAUCUUGCGGAAGGGGGGAGAGCGUGAUCUAGGAAAAUCGCGGGAGGGCUGAAGGACCUCUGCUGGUAAAGUGCUGUUGGUCGUAAAGAAGAAAAGCUCUUUUACCCGGGGUGGUAAUGACGGUACCGAAAGAAUAAGCACCGGCUAACUCCGUG